AUGAACGCUGGCGGCGUGCCUAAUACAUGCACGUCGAGCGAACAGACGAGGAGCUGGCUCCUCUGAUGUUAGCGGCGGACGGGUGAGUAACACGUGGAUAACCUACCUAUAAGACUGGGAUAACUUCGGGAAACCGGAGCUAAUACCGGAUAACAUGUUGAACCGCAUGGUUCAACAGUGAAAGACGGUCUUGCUGUCACUUAUAGAUGGAUCCGCGCCGCAUUAGCUAGUUGGUAAGGUAACGGCUUACCAAGGCAACGAUGCGUAGCCGACCUGAGAGGGUGAUCGGCCACACUGGAACUGAGACACGGUCCAGACUCCUACGGGAGGCAGCAGUAGGGAAUCUUCCGCAAUGGGCGAAAGCCUGACGGAGCAACGCCGCGUGAGUGAAGAAGGUCUUCGGAUCGUAAAACUCUGUUAUUAGGGAAGAACAAAUGUGUAAGUAACUAUGCACGUCUUGACGGUACCUAAUCAGAAAGCCACGGCUAACUACGUG
RNAcentral lists this ribosomal RNA (496 nucleotides) under uncultured bacterium. Its description in RNAcentral is "partial 16S ribosomal RNA". It matches the Rfam family "Bacterial small subunit ribosomal RNA", at positions 29 to 507 of the family's 1533-position model. The record is from RNAcentral.